RNAcentral lists this long non-coding RNA (6200 nucleotides) under Centruroides sculpturatus (bark scorpion). RNAcentral describes it as "uncharacterized LOC111617631". Lineage: Eukaryota; Metazoa; Arthropoda; Arachnida; Scorpiones; Buthidae. The record is from RNAcentral.
UACGAGUACGCUCGCAAUUUUUUCGCCGCGAUAUACGAAUCCGCAUUAUAUGAACCCGUUUUAUAGAGGAGUCUACUGUAUUGAAAUCGUGUCAAACACGACCCUUCCGAGGUUUUUUGCAAAUCUCCACGUUUUCAGAUCCCCGAACCCAAAAAAGGCGAAGAAAUUCCGCGUGUGUGCCUUGCAUACGUGAGGGUUAUAGAUGCUAUUAAAUCUUGAUGAUAAAAGGUCGAGAGGGGUAGGAUUUGAUUCGUUAUUAACAUUUACACUUUCAUAAAACUCGUCCCUACUCUCAAAAUUAAGCGUUUUGCCAUUCUAUAAAACGUACAAAAAGUUUUUAUAGCAAAAUGUGAUAACAGAUGGGGUAACAAUUUUAUUUUUGCUUAAUAAUUGACUUAUUUAAAAAACAUAUGACAGCCGGGAAAGUUACGCAACUCGUCGCUAGAUUUUUGAAUUAAUGACUUGUUUUCUAUUUCAGAGGUUCGUGGGCGAACUUCUUCAGCGUGCAAAGACACUGUAAGGAGAAGAAUCACGGAUCGUUCCGACUGUCGCCAGUCGUUCGUUACUCUCUCAAUGUUAAAAUCUUCGUUAGGUGUGACAGUAUACAUUAACGACCGUCGGCAUCGUAAACCCCUUUCGUUUUACCCACGUUACGUAUACGCCGUUCGAACUCGUUUCGUCUACGACGCGCGUUCGGAGACUCGACUUUUAUCGUUUUUUUCCGACCUCUUAAUCCUAGUCAUCGUCUCUUUCGAGAGGUGGUUUUAAUCCACUCCCCGUUGCACCCACCGUCCGUCUAGUUUUACAUCUUCCACUGCCGGUCCAUUGUAACUUCUCGGAUAAAAAUAUAGAAUCGCUCCGUCACAAAAUUUUACAUAUGUUCGUAGGUUCGAUUCUGCGUUUUUCCGCCCAUUUCCGGUGCCUGCACCGUAGUUUUCGAUCGGUCAACAAUACUUUCCAACCGUUUUGAUUUAUUUAGCCUGGUAGUCUUUCGUCCGCAGUAUUUAUUUAUUUCUCAAAUUACAAGUUUAUUAUAUUUUAACACGUCCGUUGAAUAAAUACUUAGAAUUUUCGCCGGUCGGAGUGCUCCGGUUUUGUCUUCUGGCGGGAGACUCGACGGGAAAUUCCUCCGUUUAAAUUUUGCACGGCUCCACAAUUAAGUUGGAAGAAAAACGCACAGAUCGUCGACAAAACGUUUUCCCAUUUCGUGAAAUUCCUUAAUUCUCUCGCCAACGCCAAGAAAUAACUCCUCUCACUUCGUUUAAUGGAAACCGGUGAUCGCGUGUGAUUUUUAAUCUCGUUAUUUUUGUCUUCGUCUCCAUUUUUACAGUUUUAAGUACCCGGUGGUUUUAUAUUUUGCCACGUGUUUUGCAUUAUAUUACGCCGUUCGUUAAAGUUAAUCGUCGACGAACUCCGUGCUGAAAAAACCGCGAAAUUAGAUUUUUCGACGUUGGAAAGUGUACUUAAUCGGUGUCGGUCGUUGUAGAAGAGUUAGGAUCCGAGAAAGGAAUAAAACUUUUUGUAGGGACGAAUAUAUUUUUGUCAGUUUUCGAAUAAGGCAGGUAUAAUUAUAGAAAUUUUAAUAUAAUAGUAAUAAUAAUAAUUAACAAAUCGUCUUUCAGCGGAGCUGCGGGGCAGCUUCUCUUCGUCGGUGGUACGAGGAAUUUUUAUAAACGCGAACGUAUUAAUAGAAUCGUGCAGCGCACCUAAUAUAUUUCGGCACGGAACGAGCUUAGAAAAUAGUCCACUUGUCGGGAUUUUCGAAACGUUCUACACUUUUUUUACGAUUAUCGGGAAAGGUAAUUGGUUAAAGGAAUCGUUGGCCGUCUGUGGAUGGAGGUGGUUAUUUGAAAUAGCGCGUGAAAUUUGCGAACGGAAAAUUUUCCAUUUGUAAUGCCCCGUUUUGGAUCUUUCGAAACGGCAACACACAAUAAAGUUUUGUAACAAAUCCGACCUCGUUUCCUUUUAAUCUUCCUCCUAACCGGGGCUGUCGAAACGGACGGUGGUUUUCCGCCCGGCAGUUGGCAAACGGAAUGUAAUUUUCGGGAAACCCUUCGACCCCUCAGACGGACGAUCGUACGAUGAUAUAACGUCCGCAAAAUUUUUUUCGGGCGAUCGAUUUGCCGAAACGACAAUCCUCGGGGCAAAAUGGUAAAUCUGUUGGAAAAGACGCUUAAACAAAUACGUAGAUCCGAGAAGCGCAUUUUCAAAAUCAUAAUUCCUAUAAUGAUACGAAAGGAGUCUCGUAAACGACGCCACGCAAUUUCCGGCCGAAUUUUCGCGUAGUCUGUACUUUGGCCGUUAGGUGGCGGCGAUGCGAUUAAGUGGCAAAACGUCGUCUGCUAGCCGGGCAUACGUGGAAUUAUUUUCUGGCCUUACAAAUAGUUACCUUUUACCCAGCGUCUGGCCCGAAGACUACCGAAAAGUUCUGAUUUAUUUAUUUUUAUUUAAAUACUAUUGAUAUGUACAGUACGUAUUACCGUAAGUUAUACUAUUUCUCCCGUUACUUGUAAGCAAACGGCAAAAUGGGGAAAGAAGUCGUAUAAAGGAAACGACAAAAUAGAAAUAACUCUUAUUUAUUAUUUCUUUUACGUGUAUAAAAAUGUUCUGUCGGAAUUUUUCUCUCGAAAAAUAGUCUGCCUAAAUGGGUUAAAAUCAUUGGCAUUUUUAUUAUUUUGAUGAUUGGAUUUCUUCGCGAAAUCAUUUGGAACAAAAAGGGGAGGUACGAAAGGCGCGCUAGAGUAACGUUGUGUUUCGAUAUUCGAAAUUGUAUCGGUAUAUUGUACUUUUCUUUAAGUCGGGUUAUAGCGAAGGAUUUUUCGAUUUAAAACACUAAAAAGAAAGUACAAUACACGGAAUUGAUGCGAUUACUAUUUGAUCGAAUCGAUUAAAAUUACAAUAAGUCGAAAACGUUAGAUUAGAUUAGCCUGUCUGUGGAAAGAAUCGACUUGGUAUUAACUAAUGAGCGUCGGCCGUCCGUCGCUUAGUUGUGGCAAGUUACUUCGGUAUCUUCCUUUGUUUAAACCACUCGAUUCUUCCCAUAGACACACUUCCAUAGACUAUCUCUACUUUUAGUUAUUAUAAUCACCGGUGACGUGAGCAUGCGCCACUGUCCGGCGCCAUCUUUCUGGUUUGUUUACGUUUAUUUGCGUUUACUCGCGCUUUAGCUGGAAUUCUUGUGUCGUUUAUUCUUCGCGAAGAUCGUGGUGAAUUGUUGCGUAAUUGGGAGUAAUGCUAGUUCACUCGGAAACGAAGGAACGUCAUUUUUUAAAAUUCCCGGCAUUAUUUGUCAUCCAGGACCUCAAACCCCGGAGCUUUCGCCGGGAAGGUGUUUGCACGACGCCGAAGAAUUAACCGGAAAAAUUUCAAUACGGAUAGUGUAUCAAGACAAGAGUUUGUCAGAAACAUUUCAUUUCAGGUAAGCAAUAACAUGUAAUUAGAUUACUAGUUAUCACGCAAAAGUUUAUCAUUUAUUGAGUAUCAUAAAGUGUGUACGAGUCGGUUGCAUAAAUCCUUUUGUUAAUACCGACAGAGUAAAGUUAAAUAAUUUUCACAACCGCAGAUUUUAGUUUAUCUAUCCAAUCAUUUUCACCUGUCGGCUUGUUUUGUAACUCUGCUUGUAAUAAAUAUACAGUAGAGAUAUUAUUAAAGCGUUAAGCUUAGUUCACACUGAGCGAAAGCGAAAAUGGAUUUUUAUUCGCUUAGCGAAAUUGACCCCUACAACUAAAAGCGAAAAGCGGUUGCGAAUUUUAAGCAGCCAAUCAUUUGCAUGCGAGAGAAAACGUCGUCUCGAAAAACAAAAUGGCCGCUUCCGAUAUUCCGUCGUUAACCACGUUUGUUUGUUUAUUGAGAAAGAUACGUAAAAAAAGAUACUGGAUGAGAGGAAAGUUAAAAAUCCGUAAUUACAAUAUUUACUCGUGUGAGAAAGUUUCUAUAGCUAUCUCGAAAACAACAAGAACCACGUGACAACUAACGGGAAUAUGAUUGGUGGCGAAAUUUUUUCGCUAGCGAAAAAGCUCGACUGUUCCGAACUUCGAAGCGAUUCGCGAAAUGGUAAAAUUCGCCGGAAACAACGACGUGUUUUUCGCUUUCGCCAGCGAAUCGCGCUCAGUGUGAACUAAACUUUAAGCGAAAAGGUAAUCGCUUAGCGGAUGGAGAAUUAGAAAUGAAUUUUGAAUUGAUUUUCCUUCCAGUGUAAUUUACAUAAAUAAGUGUGUAUUUUUAAUAUAUAAACCAAUAAUUGUCAUUGUUCUCUUAUAAAUAGCUAAGUUAGGUUUUUUUUUGACUUGAUGAAAGUUUCUCUUGGCAUAAAGUAGCAUCUGGUGCUGUCAGACUGCGAAAAUAACCCGCCAGAAAAGCGUCUUUUUUAACUUUGUCCGUGUUAAUAGAACUGCCGUAUUUUUAUAAGUUUAAAUUGAAAAAAGCGCUCCCGACCCGUCAAAUAACAAACCAGGCGCAAGCUAAGCGAGCGGAAGCUAGAUGACAAACUGGCGAAGGGGCAGCGCUCCGCCCAACAAAACGUUCGCCAUAUUGGUUGCUCAUUUCACGUUACUUUGUUCGUUCACUCUAUUAUGUCAACGUGGAAGGAAGAAAAAUCUUAUCUGGCUACGCAGCCGAUUUGAAGGUUAAAUUCUCUUUAUGUUUUAUCGGAUGGGACCCGUAUGAAAUGAAACCAACGAUUUUAACCACGGCCCACUAUAGAGCAUAGAGACACGGUAAAUUAUUUGGUUCUGACGACUAACGCUGUCACACCGGUCAGACGAAGGCAUAGAAAUCACUCGAUGCUCAUAAUUAUUUGACAAGCGGAUUUAUUCGUCGUGAUAUUUUAUCGAGAGCCGUUCGUAACGAAUUACGUACUUUUCCUAUAAGCAAAAUUAUCUUCGCGAGAGACUUUCCAUUACUCAUAACAUAAACUGCGUUACGUAAAGACGAAUGUCAUUUUAUAUUUAGUCGCAUUUCACUAAAUUGUAUUUAUGAUUACUAUCAAACUUUUUCUUUUGGCACCGUGGUUUUGUGCAAGUUUCUAAUAACCUAUUAUUCAGAUCGAAUUAAUUAGUCUAAAUAUGGCUGUAAUAAAUUGGAAAUCUUAUCAGGUCGAAGACUGACUGGAGCAAAAUAGACUUUAAUUAACCACAGAUUUUUAGUAGAAUGCAUUUCGGACACAGACCUUUUUCUUCUUUUCGUAGCAAUUUCGUAUCGUUCUUGUCGCGCUCUUUCUACGAUCCGCUACUUUCCCCCGUGUUUAUUGUUGGGUCCCAAUCUGGAGAUUCUAAAUCAUACAGUUUUGUUAGUUUUCCUUUAAAUAAAAAAUAAUUUCGCAAUAAGUUUUGCUCACAUACACAAGCACUCGAAGUAGCGAAAAAUGGGGAGCAGUAGACAGCAAAAUUUAUAACAAGAAAGCAACUUUACGAGACAGCAUUUCCAUCAUCAGUCCUUGUAAUUCAUUCUAAUAUGUUCUUUCGUACCGUAACAGUCUGAGAAUAUCUAAAUGCAUAUUAUUUUCUUCAUAAACAUUACUGUUCUAUUUAACUAAUUUGCCUUUAAAACAUUAAGUCCGGGUAUUAAAGAGAUAUUAAGGUAAGUUUAUCUUUUCGUUGCCCCUUUUACUUCAGUUUGUUUAAAUAUUAAGUAAAAUCCUUACUUAAUAUUUAAACAAACAUUUUAUUUGUAACCUUUAGAUCAAAAGUUAAUUGUGUGUGUCACCGUAUCCAUUCUGAAGGAACACGGAGGAUUUUAUGAAAUCGCAACCAAAUACUACGCAAUGAACUGUAAUAAAUCGAAAUUAAUGUUAAAAAAUACUAGUUAGACAGAUCGAAAUCGGAGUCGUGUGACGUCACGUGCACCCCCUCUACAGCAAGUAAAUACUGCCGACAAUGUAUUUUUACGGUACCCCAAGACCUUUGUGUUUACGCCAACGAACGUCGACACUCGCGCUUUCGGGAAGUAUCUUACAGGCGUUUUUAUUCCGGUGAGUGAGGAAAGGAGGAAGCUUUCGGACACGAGAAGAAAAAUUUGGGAACGUUCAACCGAAUCUCUGGCCAUAUUGCACGGUGCAAGAAUCUCUUAGGUAUGUCGAAUAGAAGAGUAAAGAUACGGAAGAAUUUUAGUAUCGGAAAGAAAAAGCAUUUUUAGUUUAUCGAUCUUAGUUCUUAUCGAUUACGACGGAGAGAAACAAGAUGCGUUACUUACGGGAUGAGUAG